UGAUCCAGCUGCAGUCUACUCAGCAGUGAGAGGAGCAGGAGACGUCAGUUAUGGACAAAUAGUCAUCAAAGACAUCAAAUCAAACAGGACGAGAGAGAGUGAUCCAGCUGCAGUCUACUCAGCAGUGAGAGGAGCAGGAGACGUCAGUUAUGGACAAAUAGUCAUCAGA
Micropterus salmoides (largemouth bass) is the source of this 169-nucleotide long non-coding RNA. RefSeq lists it as uncharacterized. The record is from RefSeq and is a predicted model, not a curated record. The transcript has 2 exons. Lineage: Eukaryota; Metazoa; Chordata; Actinopteri; Centrarchiformes; Centrarchidae.